RNAcentral lists this ribosomal RNA (200 nucleotides) under uncultured bacterium. RNAcentral's name for it is "partial 16S ribosomal RNA". It matches the Rfam family "Bacterial small subunit ribosomal RNA", at positions 524 to 723 of the family's 1533-position model. The record is from RNAcentral.
UACGUAGGGUGCGAGCGUUAAUCGGAAUUACUGGGCGUAAAGCGUGCGCCGGCGGCUUUGCAAGACAGAUGUGAAAUCCCCGGGCUCAACCUGGGAACUGCAUUUGUGACUGCAAGGCUAGAGUACGGCAGAGGGGGAUGGAAUUCCGCGUGUAGCAGUGAAAUGCGUAGAUAUGCGGAGGAACACCAAUGGCGAAGGCA